This 301-nucleotide ribosomal RNA is filed under the name uncultured bacterium. RNAcentral's name for it is "partial 16S ribosomal RNA". It matches the Rfam family "Bacterial small subunit ribosomal RNA", at positions 509 to 807 of the family's 1533-position model. The record is from RNAcentral.
CAGCAGCCGCGGGAAUACGAAGGGGGCUAGCGUUGCUCGGAAUGACUGGGCGUAAAGGGCGCGUAGGCGGCGAUCAAAGUCAGGCGUGAAAUUCCUGGGCUCAACCUGGGGGCUGCGUUUGAUACUUGAUUGCUAGAGUGGGGAAGAGGGUCGUGGAAUUCCCAGUGUAGAGGUGAAAUACGUAGAUAUCGGAAGGAACACCUGUGGCGAAAGCGGCUCACUGGACCAUUUCUGACGCUGAUGCACGAAAGCUAGGGGAGCAAACAGGGUUAGAUACCCGUGUAGUCCCUGUCUCUUAUAC